GAUGAACGCUGGCGGCGUGCCUAAUACAUGCAAGUCGAGCGAACAGAUGAGUAGCUUGCUCCUCUGACGUUAGCGGCGGACGUGUGAGUAACACGUGGAUAACCUACCUAUAAGACUGGGAUAACUUCGGGAAACCGGAGCUAAUACCGUAUAAUAUCUUGAACCGCAUGGUUCAAUAGUGAAAGCCGGUUUUGCUGUCACUUAUAGAUGGAUCCGCGGCGCAUUAGUGAGUUGGUAAGGUAUCGGCUUCCCAGGGCGACGAUGCGUAGCCGACCUGAGAGGGUGAAGGGCCACAGUGAGACUGAGACGCGGUACAGAGUCUGAGGGGAGGCAGAGGUAGGGAAGGGAGCGAAAAGGGCGGAAGCCUGAAGGAGGAACGCCACGUGGGUGAAGAAGGGCUGCGUAUCGGAAGACUGUGUUAUGGGGGAAGAACGAAUGUAGAAGGAACGAAGCUUGUCGUGACGGUACCUGAACAAGAAGCAACGGCUAACUACGUG
Molecule: ribosomal RNA, 497 nt
Filed under: uncultured bacterium
Lineage: Bacteria
Description: partial 16S ribosomal RNA
Rfam family: Bacterial small subunit ribosomal RNA
Source: RNAcentral